AUACGGAGGGUGCAAGCGUUAUUCGGAAUCACUGGGCGUAAAGGGUGCGUAGGCGGUUUGAUAAGUCUGAUGUGAAAUCCUAUGGCUCAACCAUAGAACUGCAUUGGAAACUGUCAGACUAGAAUACUGAAGGGGCAGAUGGAAUUAGUGGUGUAGGGGUCAAAUCCGUAGAUAUCACUAGGACUACCGAAAGCGAAAGCGAUCUGCUGGGAAGUUAUUGACGCUGAGGCACGAAAGCGUGGGGAGCAAACGGGAUUAGAAACCCUAGUAGUCC
This 274-nucleotide ribosomal RNA is filed under the name uncultured bacterium. Its description in RNAcentral is "partial 16S ribosomal RNA". It matches the Rfam family "Bacterial small subunit ribosomal RNA", at positions 523 to 796 of the family's 1533-position model. The record is from RNAcentral.